UCGUGGCAGCAACUUUGCAUGCGGAUAUCAUCCAUAUCAACUUUUCGAUGCCAGUUUCUACACCUACAAUGGUGACCAUGGGUAAUGGGGAAUCAUUCCAUACAGAGACCCUGAGAAACGGCUACCACAUGCAAGGAAGGCAGCAGGCGCGCAAAUGACCCACUCCCGACGCGGGAAGGUAGUGACGA
Non-coding RNA from Pelobates cultripes (western spadefoot toad), 188 nucleotides. NCBI's taxonomy places the organism in Eukaryota, Metazoa, Chordata, Amphibia, Anura, Pelobatidae. The record is from the annotation of a GenBank genome assembly.